RNAcentral lists this ribosomal RNA (253 nucleotides) under uncultured bacterium. Its description in RNAcentral is "partial 16S ribosomal RNA". It matches the Rfam family "Bacterial small subunit ribosomal RNA", at positions 524 to 776 of the family's 1533-position model. The record is from RNAcentral.
UACGAAGGGGGCUAGCGUUGUUCGGAAUUACUGGGCGUAAAGCGCGCGCAGGCGGUUCUUCAAGUCAGAGGUGAAAGCCCAGAGCUCAACUCUGGAAUGGCCUUUGAGACUAGAGAACUAGGGUACGGGAGAGGUGAGUGGAAUUCCGAGUGUAGAGGUGAAAUUCGUAGAUAUUCGCAAGAACACCAGUGGCGAAGGCGACUUACUGGACACAUAUUGACGCUGAGGUGCGAAAGCGUGGGGAGCAAACAGG